RNAcentral lists this ribosomal RNA (580 nucleotides) under uncultured Bacilli bacterium. RNAcentral describes it as "bacterial SSU rRNA". It matches the Rfam family "Bacterial small subunit ribosomal RNA", at positions 76 to 642 of the family's 1533-position model. The record is from RNAcentral. Lineage: Bacteria; Bacillati; Bacillota; Bacilli.
GAGCUUGCUCUUUCCGGAUGAGUUGCGAACGGGUGAGUAACGCGUAGGUAACCUGCCUGGUAGCGGGGGAUAACUAUUGGAAACGAUAGCUAAUACCGCAUAACAGUAGAUAUCGCAUGAUAGCUGCUUGAAAGGUGCAAAUGCACCACUACCAGAUGGACCUGCGUUGUAUUAGCUAGUUGGUGAGGUAACGGCUCACCAAGGCAACGAUACAUAGCCGACCUGAGAGGGUGAUCGGCCACACUGGGACUGAGACACGGCCCAGACUCCUACGGGAGGCAGCAGUAGGGAAUCUUCGGCAAUGGACGGAAGUCUGACCGAGCAACGCCGCGUGAGUGAAGAAGGUUUUCGGAUCGUAAAGCUCUGUUGUAAGAGAAGAACGAGUGUGAGAGUGGAAAGUUCACACUGUGACGGUAUCUUACCAGAAAGGGACGGCUAACUACGUGCCAGCAGCCGCGGUAAUACGUAGGUCCCGAGCGUUGUCCGGAUUUAUUGGGCGUAAAGCGAGCGCAGGCGGUUAGAUAAGUCUGAAGUUAAAGGCUGUGGCUUAACCAUAGUACGCUUUGGAAACUGUUUAACU